Molecule: long non-coding RNA, 219 nt
Filed under: Brassica rapa (field mustard)
Lineage: Eukaryota; Viridiplantae; Streptophyta; Magnoliopsida; Brassicales; Brassicaceae
Description: long non-coding RNA (BRAP_LNC003399)
Source: RNAcentral
UUAAAAGGUCUACAUGCUGACGAAUGAGCAUCAUGCAUUAAUGGGGUUCCUAAUUUAUAGAUUCAAGCCCGAUUAAAGCCAGUGCCACAAUCUUCCAGGAAUACCAUUAUGUAGGUCCGGUCAACUACUGUGACACUUGACCGAACCUGAAUUGUAAUUUGUCCCAUUGUAAUACAAAUAACAAUUUUACAAUUUAGAGGGCUGUGCAAAGAGUCUUAU